UUGCGCAGUCGAGUAGCAUCUUCAGCACCGGGAGCGAACCAUCAGGACACGGUUUUGCCGGCUUUGCGUUGAAGCCGCCGUGGCGUGUCCCUCUCGCGUGGUGGCGAGCCGGUGCCUCUGUCACGUUCGUGCAUCCGCGUCUGCGGCGCCAUUGUGCCUCUCCGUGAGCUGCUGCUCCCCGUCGUUGCUUUUGCCCACGGCUCUUGUCCACGGCUUUGCUUUGUUGUUCUCUCUCGGUGAUGCUGUGUCGCCGCGUCUGUGCUGCCCCAUCACUAGCCGUCGGCCCGACGGGGUCGUCGUCGCUGUCGUUGACGCCUUCUCCGGCGGACAGCCAACAACGUCGCUCGCUGAAGACCCUCGAUGUGCGUGAGUAUCGUCCGCUCGGCACCCCCAUCGAGUUCCGCUUCUACCAGCGCUACGCCAAUCACCCCAACCGACAGUCUGGCGUGCAGUUCUUGACCCAUUACAACACGCACCAGCGUUUUCGCGUCAACAAGGACUUCAUUGACUACAUGCACUGGGGCAAGGAGCAAGGGCAGGCGCGUCUGCCGCACCGGCACCAACGCGUCGCGUUCGACUUCGACGACGCGCUGCAGCCGACGCGCGCAGAGGGAGACGUGAGCGCCUGGUUCGCUGGCCAGGACCCGACGAUGGGGUCGCACCCCGAUAUCUCGACCAGCUUCGAUCCGAACAAGAAGCUCUUCUCGCACCCGGAACACUGGAACAAGAUGUUCUCCAAGCGCCGCCCCGGCGAGGGCGACAUCAAGCUGAAUGUCAUACCCUCCAACAGCCUGCUCGGGCCGAUGGUGACCCAGACGGACACACAGGAGAUGGCCUACUUCAAGACCGAAACGUGCGGCCCCACGCACGGCCGCGUACCGGGUAUCAACGCCCCGUUCAAGGGCGAGAUGGACCGCAAGAUGAUGCAAGCGAUGUCGCGACCGCUUAACCGCAGUCGCACCCUCACCGGCAAUAACGGGCGCUUUUCCAACACGAUCUUCAUCAACGACCCGAAGCGCCAUCAGACUCUCUCGGCGACCCUUGCCAAGGAGUUGAAUCGCGAGGUCGACAGGGCCACAAAUGGGCUCUACUCCAAGCUUACAGUCCUCACCUCCGCCCAGUCGGGGCUGACGGACUUCUUCUGUGGAGGCACCGAUCUACAGAGCAUCGGCUUCGACCUCAACCUGGCACAGCUGCUCCGAAAAGAGGCCGAGGCGCUGACCAAGUCGUCCGUGUCGGGGAGCAAGAAAGUGGAGGCGAAGGUGCAGGAACUGAUCCGAGAUGCGGAGCGCUACGAGGAGCGCGCCGACUCAGUCCUGCGCGAAAACGCGGCGGUCAUCUGGCGCGCCUACACGAGCCCACGCGCUCUCAUGACGCUCGUCAACGGCAAGUGCCGCGGCACAGGAUGCGGGCUGGCGCUGGCGGCGAAGUACGCCGGACUGCAAGACGCCAGCGAGUUCAUCGUGGACGGCCCGAACGUGGGGCUCACUCCGUACAGCGGAAUGACGCGGCUGCUGGCGCGCCCAGAGACGUCCCUCAAAUACCCUGGGCUGGCAGAGUUCGUGAUGCUCACCGGGGCGUCCCUCUUCGCCGGCGACGCGCUGCGGUUGGGCUGGUCGGACCUGUUCACAUCACUGCCGGACAUGCCUUACCACAUCAAGGAUUGGUUCGACAGCACAGAGCACAUGCACAAUGACGCCGUGGCGUGGCAGCUAGGGCACCUGCUCGAGAGGUGCUUCCAGAUGAAGGACCGCUGGCACACGAGCGCGAUGGAGCGCUGCGCUAUGACGCCGAUUCGUGCCCGCUGGGUCGAGGACGCGUUCGCCGACCAGUCCUCCAUCGAAGAGAUCCUCAAGACCCUAAGCGCGAUGGAGAAGCUGCCUCUCACGGACCGCCACAACACCUACGAUCCCUCCUACGCCACCCCGUACACGCUUGCGAGCGUGGCCGAAGGAGUAGAAAAGCUGAGUGCGUCACGGCUGCGCUACACCCUGUCGCCGUGGGAUGCGACGCCUCCGGAGGAGGCCGUGGAGGUGCGGCAAGCCGCGGAGAUCUUCACGUCCUACGUGCUGGAGCGCCGGGGUAAGGUGAACAUCGUGGCCCACCGCGAUCGGCACAAGGCGCAGGCGUGGCAGAAGCAGCGCGAGCGCGAGUACGUGGCGUACAGCAACAUGAAGAGCGCCCCACACCGUCGCCACGUGUAUGCCCGACUGGAGGGGUGCGAGGGGACGCUGGUGGACUUUGACUUCACGGUCGACCCUGCCGGCGACGCGGCGGCCGCCGUUGCCGAGAAGGGUGCCGGCGUAGACGACAAUAGCGAGCUGGUGCACACGGCCUCGGUGGACCGCCUGAAGCGAGCCGUUCUGCAAGCCAUGGGCAUGCCCGCUGAUCGCGAUAUCGACCUCUGCUGGUAUCUGCCAACCCUCGACACCUGCCCGAUCCGCAACGACGAGGAGCUGGUCGACGUGCUGCACAGCGACCCUGGCUUCGAGGACUCGAGCGCGCAGCUGCGGUAUCCGCCGAUCUACUUUCUCGUAAAGCGCAACACACUGCAUCUGUCGGAGUGGGCCUACGCCGUGAAGCAUCAGCUUCUACUGCAGUCGCCCUACGCCCUCAAGGCGACGCUGCAGCUGCUGCAGGAGGUGCGGGGCGACGGCUCCGCCGAGGCGGUGCGCUCGCUCGCCGACACGUUGGCUACAGAGUACCGCUACGCGACCCGCCUGCUGAAGCGGCCCGACUUUUAUCAGGUGGGCCAGCACGUGGACAAGUCGCCCGAGGAGUGGGGCAUCGUCAAGGAGGAGCGAGUGCGCUACGUGCACAAGGAGCAUCUGCCCUCUCGGCCGCUGCCGGACUACGAGGUGGUCUUUGAGCGAAACGUCCAGCUGGAUGGGCACACGUUUCAGCUCCGGCCACGCUGGUCUCCGCGCACAGUGCAGGAGGUGACCGCCGAGUCUCUCGCGCCCCUUGCAACCCCGCUCGACUUCGAGAAGGACGGCGCGGUGGAGUUCAACGUCGUCGUGUACGCCAGCAAGGCGGAUCGGCUGGCUGGUAUGAUUGAGGAUGCCGGCGGCCUCGAGGUCGUGGCCCAUCUUGGCGAGGUGGACAAGGAAGGUAAUGCCAAGGUGCCGCCACUGCAUGGCGACGCGCACGUGCCGACCAACGUGAGCUUUUACGAGAUGGCCCGUCACCCGUGGGAGGAUACGCCGUCCUCGUGGCGCCGCGACGGCUUCACCGCUGGCUCCAAGGAGUACUUUGAUCAGCAGUACAAAAAGGCGGAGAAGGCCGUGUAUGACGAAGCUGGUCGUGGGCAGCGUAACUACUGGCCCUCAAAGGCCGCUGUGGAUGGCGUCACUGGUGAGGAGUCGAAUGCGCUGCUGGAGGAGCGCUUCUUUGCCAAGCUGCGCGAUGCGGAGCGCGGCGUCGAGUCGUGGGCUCGUCAGCUGCGCAAGAAGGCCGUCGAGGGCAAGCUCGACAACAAGACCGAGAUUGCGACGCAGCAGGAGAAGAUCUACGACGACGAUUAUUACCGCUGGUUCAUUCAGCCUGGGCAUAACCCGAACCCCUCCGGCCUGCUUCGCGGUCGCAAGGGUGCCGACAGCGGCAGCAGCUCCGUGGACAAGGACCUCGAGGUGUUUCUCAACCAGCUGUUGAGUGGUGCCGCUGAGCGGGGGGCUGACGGCACCGCUGGCGAUGAAGGCGAAGCGCUUAUUUUGCCCGAAGAGGACGCCGACGAGGCCGCUGAUAGCACAUGAGAAGGUGCCGUCUAAGUGAACCGUUGUCGGGAGAAGGGCACUCCUGUCCGCCUUCAGUGUUGUAGUAGUUUCGCUAGCGUGGAUUCUCUCUCUCGGUCUCGCUUGCGGUUUUUUUUGUACGGAUGUCUUGGCGUGAAGGUGCCUGCGUGCAUCGUCGCGUUCGGUGCUUGGCCUGUUUUUACUUUGUGGAGCAUCGCUCUCUCCAUCCCUCUCCCCCUCGCACGACCCCCCCCCCCACCCUCGCUCCUUCUCUCCGCCUCCAGACUGGCAAUCGAAUCGGCCUGUUUCUCACAUACCCUUGUUGUUGUUUGUCCCUUUCUCUGUCUUUUUCGCUCUCUCUCUGAUUCCUCGUGACUAUGAGCACCUGACUGUGUGGUAUCACAGGGUUCCCUGCACUUUCACUGUGGGAGGAAGCCAAGCAGCCCCUCCUUGUCCCCUGCCAAUGCCGAACCACCUCUGGUAGUGGCAGGUUCAUGCACCUACGGCGUAGGGGGAGUUCAGAGCGAUGCACCGCUACGGAUGCCGGCGCCGAGGCUGCGGAUGAUGGUGCGCCGGAGGGACCUGCGACCGUGGACACGCCUGCACACCGUCCAUAUGGUGGGCAAAGCGUCAGCGUGACUCGAGUGUGUAUGGCACCCGGCCCUCACACUGCCGGCUGGUGCGGAGAGGCUGAGCCACCCCAGGGGAAGGAUGCACCAGGUGGCGACCGGCAUGAUGCGAGAGCGACUGUGAGACAGCCUGCGAAGUCUAGGGUGGGUAGAGUUCGAGGCAUGGGGCCGUGCUCUCAGAUGACUGGGUCGACGCAUUGCUGAAAGGCGUGUCUAGAGCUGCCUCGCACCACGCGAUAGGGGCCUGUGACAGGCCGGGGGGCGUUCGAGUGGAGUUGAGCUCGGCUUGAAUGGCAGAGAGUGGACACGCUGCGAUGCUUUUCUUGAGUUGUCUCUCCUACGCGUUGUGGUGGCGUUGCCUCGCCUCGUAUUUGUUUCGUUGUGAAAGGAAGGCACGAUAUCACAACUGUUGCUGAGGCAGAGCGCGAUAGCACACAGGUGCGCACAACACACACACACACACGUGGGCGGCGCAUGAGAGCGAUACUGCCCGACUGCCGUGGCUGCCUCCGUGCAGUCCCUGUCCCACUGCACGUAUGGUCGAUUCGAUAGCGGUGGCGUCUGUGUACAUGUGUGCGUGCCCUGUGUCUUAGUUGGCAUGGGUGGCAUGAGGAAUGGGAUGUCGAUGGACCGUUGUCCAUGUAGCGUUUCGAGCGCGUGCGUAAAGCAAGGGGCACACACACAGAUAAAGUAAAGGCAAGGCGGAACAAAAUGACCGCGCCAACGCGGCUAAGCUCAAGUGGCACAAAAGCACCUUCCUGUCACAGCCAGAUUCAACUGAGAGAAGAAUCGAUGAUGCAGACUAGCACCACGAGGCGGCAGCGCAUUUUUCUUUUCGCAUUUUCUGUGCAUGUGCGUGCGAUUGGGGGAUUGCUUAGCGAAAGCGAACCUCGACUACAACGACGCGCACACCGCUGUCGAGUCGUCAUCUCCUUUGCCUUUUACGAGAAUGUGGUGGAUGGCAAGGGCACGUUUCGGCCCACCGCUCCUUGCACGCGUGGUGCUGCGCGUCUCCCCUCCCCUUGUUUUACACACAGCUCCACUCGCCUGCUGGUUUCGACUAUGUAUUUUUGCCCUCUCUUCCUCCUCAUCCCUCCCUCUUUUCCGUCACACACACACACACACACACCGCUGAUCACCCGUGCUGCCCAUCUCACCGGCAG
This 5523-nucleotide unclassified non-coding RNA is filed under the name Leishmania donovani. RNAcentral describes it as "gene:LdHU3.36.4700(CDS-product:Enoyl-CoA_hydratas e/isomerase_family/2-enoyl-CoA_Hydratase_C-inal_region_cont aining_protein_putative)". The record is from RNAcentral. Lineage: Eukaryota; Euglenozoa; Kinetoplastea; Trypanosomatida; Trypanosomatidae.